Molecule: ribosomal RNA, 465 nt
Filed under: Vreelandella stevensii
Lineage: Bacteria; Pseudomonadati; Pseudomonadota; Gammaproteobacteria; Oceanospirillales; Halomonadaceae
Description: partial 16S ribosomal RNA
Rfam family: Bacterial small subunit ribosomal RNA
Source: RNAcentral
CCUACGGGGGGCUGCAGUGGGGAAUAUUGGACAAUGGGGGGAACCCUGAUCCAGCCAUGCCGCGUGUGUGAAGAAGGCCCUCGGGUUGUAAAGCACUUUCAGUGAGGAAGAACGCCUGGUGGUUAAUACCCAUCAGGAAAGACAUCACUCACAGAAGAAGCACCGGCUAACUCCGUGCCAGCAGCCGCGGUAAUACGGAGGGUGCGAGCGUUAAUCGGAAUUACUGGGCGUAAAGCGCGCGUAGGUGGCUUGAUAAGCCGGUUGUGAAAGCCCCGGGCUCAACCUGGGAACGGCAUCCGGAACUGUCAAGCUAGAGUGCAGGAGAGGAAGGUAGAAUUCCCGGUGUAGCGGUGAAAUGCGUAGAGAUCGGGAGGAAUACCAGUGGCGAAGGCGGCCUUCUGGACUGACACUGCCACUGAGGUGCGAAAGCGUGGGUAGCAAACAGGAUUAGCUACCCUUGUAGUC